CAUGUUCACAUUAAACGCUCUAUGAGGAUUUGGGUUUCAAUUCAGUGCAAAAGAAAAUGCCUCUUCUCCUUCUUCCAUUUUCCUUUGUUUUUGUGUCGCUCCUGAAACUCUAACCAUGACGAUCGAACGAUUAAAUUGUUAGUUCUAAAAUGAUUUUAAACCCACAACAUUCCCCCCUAAGAGAUGUUUUUUGGUUUGGGAAUUAUUCGCGGUUAAAUCAAAGGAUGUUGAUUAUGGACUUUUGAUAAACUGUACCUUUAAUAUACUGAUCGCUGUGAACCCUGUUAGAGGAUCCCGACAAUGCUUGGCUUAAUGGAGAACUUUUGCAGGUUGAUGGUCAAGAAGUUAUAGCACAUCUAGGAAGCAGGUAAGGCUUACAGUGGGUCUAGCACCAGGACCUGCCAUAUAGUUGUUACUACCGCUACCACUUGCUGGCACAAGAUCCUCAGAGAGAGCUCCUAUUACCACUUAUUGGCCACAAGUAACUUGCUGAUAGCUGCUACUAUCACUACCACUGACUGGCAAAACUACCUCAGAAAACCUUUCUAUGCACGUAAUGGACACCAUAUUUAUGACUGGAUAUUGUGAACCUUGGGAACUGAAUCACAAAGCUCAGACACAACAGGCAUGCGUCAUGUGGAUGUGGUUAUGUUCCCACUUAAUUUGCAUGUACGCGACUAAUAGUAAAAAAUGAAGAUGACAAAGAAUGUAAGCAAUAUUGAAUAUUGAAAGUAAAUUGUAUAUACUCAGACUCCUAGCUUUUCCUUUAACCAUGAGCUAUGCGGUCUAUUUUGUCAAUUAUGAUCCGUGUUUUUUGACGAAGGGAAUUGGUAUGUGGAACAAAUUGUUCGGGAAAGGUAGCCUUUACUCUC
Molecule: long non-coding RNA, 872 nt
Organism: Papaver somniferum (opium poppy)
Lineage: Eukaryota; Viridiplantae; Streptophyta; Magnoliopsida; Ranunculales; Papaveraceae
Exons: 4
Source: RefSeq, a predicted model, not a curated record